CAGCCGCCACGGUAAUACGAAGGGUGCAAGCGUUACUCGGAAUUACUGGGCGUAAAGCGUGCGUAGGUGGUGGUUUAAGUCCGUUGUGAAAGCCCUGGGCUCAACCUGGGAAUUGCAGUGGAUACUGGAUCACUAGAGUGUGGUAGAGGAUAGUGGAAUUUCCGGUGUAGCAGUGAAAUGCGUAGAGAUCGGAAGGAACAUCUGUGGCGAAGGCGACUAUCUGGGCCAACACUGACACUGAGGCACGAAAGCGUGGGGAGCAAACAGGAUUAGAUACCCCAGUAGUCCCUGUCUCUUAUAC
RNAcentral lists this ribosomal RNA (301 nucleotides) under uncultured bacterium. Its description in RNAcentral is "partial 16S ribosomal RNA". It matches the Rfam family "Bacterial small subunit ribosomal RNA", at positions 509 to 807 of the family's 1533-position model. The record is from RNAcentral.